GUGAACUCUGAGCGUGAGGUUUGGUAACCGUGUGCAUUCCGUGUGUGGUUUCUCAGUGUGGAGCUGGUGUUCCUGAAUGGAGUUGCCUGCGUGCGUACUGGCCAGUGGAGACAGAGAGCAAUCUGGGUUGCUAUGCAACCAGCGCCUGUGCCCAGCAGAUAACACCAGAGGAAUUAACUGUCCUUGUCCUGCUCAGGCUCCAGAGGAGGGGCUGAUGCCAGUGGUUGGACCACAGCUUCCCCCACCUGCCAACCCAUGGCUCCACCGUGUGUGGGGGGGGACCUGAAGCCAGGUCCCAAUCCCUUGCUUUACAAAGAGCAUCCAAGGGGGACCCCUUGCCUCCUGUUAGGGGGUACCUGACUGCAGGGUGAAGAAGGGCCCUCUGAGAUCUUAGAUGCUGCAUAACCCUGUCUGCUUUGAUCUGCAAAUGAGCUGUGAAUUCAAGACAAACCUGGACUGGAAGGGAAGCUGUGAGAAGGCCCUGACUGGUGACAGGCUGUUGAGGGGCUGUCUAGGGCCAAGAACAAGAUGGACAGAAUGAGGCCAUCUCCUGGGGCUGCAGACAGGUCUGUGUGUUCACUGGCCCUGCUCCUGCAACAAGACUCCAGGCCCAAGGAGGAACAGGGCUGGGAGGAGGGGCAGGUCAUUCUGGAGUAGACAGGUCUCCUGAAGCUGUCAGGGCCUUGGCAUUCUGGGAAAACCAGGGACUGUCAGAUCCAGGGCUUGGAGAACUGAGCGCAGCCUGUCUGAGGGACUUGGGAUGAAUGGGUGAGACCUAGGGAGAUGCGGCAAUACAUGCAUGGGCUUCAGACUGAGCCUAGCAGUGGAGGUCCCUGCAGAGAGCCCUGUGCUGUUUGUGAAUAUGGGCCACCAGGAGCCGGGGCAGCAGGAGCAGGGCUCAUCUUCCCAGGAGCAAAGCCAUUGCACCUAAUCCCCCCCCCUUUCUCUCUUUUCUCUUCUUUUUUUUUUUCUUCCUUUUUGUCUCCUGUGAGUUGUAACCCUAUCAUGGGCAACGAAAGACUUAAGAGUCUCUCUUCCAAUUUUCGGCCCCCAAAAUGGUAAAUACAUUUAUUUUUCCACUUUCAUAUAAAUAAUAUUGUUUUCUCUUAACAUGGGUAAGUGUUCAGACCCAAACCUGGGUUCAAACACACUCAGAGCUGUGUGAUCUUGGGCCAGUCGCUUUACUUCUCUGAACAUCAGUCAUUUGUCUAGUCCAUGAACUUGCCAUAAGGAUGGAAGGGACUGUGUGCUAGGUUGAGCUCACGACAAACUGCCUUCACUGUGGAUGAAAGCAGGUCGAAUAUUGGUUCUUUCUUUUGGUUCAGACUUGAGGGAUAUUCAGUGCACUUGGUAGGUGGAAGCCAUGACUGCUGUCCUCUGCUGUCCUGGGCCUUUAGGUGCCAAUGAACUGCAGGGUCUAAGCUGCAGGCUGCUGCUCCCAGUAUGCCCACAGUAUGCAUCCCAGAGGAUGCAGAGUGGAGAUGAGGGAAUCUCUGGCCCAGGGGAGUUCCACGGCAUCAGAGGCCAAGCUCAGGGGCUGGCCUUCCCGCUAGGCCAGCAGCAGCCCCCAUCCCCACCUGCCCUCUGUGUUCCUUCCUCUCCUUGCCCCACUUACUGAGCAAAAGUCUUGUUUCCAUGUUGCCAUGGUUACCAUUUACUUGCGCACUCUCACACCAGGCUCCAAACGAACAGGCUUGGCGGGGGCAUUAUUAGCUCAUUUAUUCCUAACGGCAGCCGAACUUGAACCUCAUUUUUAACCCUUUGAGGUCAUCUGAAAACUUUAUCUUGUGCAGACACCAUUCCCGAACAGGAAAAUGCACUUAUUCUCACAGCACAGUUCCAGGAGUUUGGACAAACAUAGCAAUAAUCCAUGUGAUCAUCUCUGGUCUAAGACACCUUCUUUAUCCCAGAGAGCUUCCUGGUACUCAGUCUGUCAGUCCUCCCAGCUCCUCCACAGACCUUUCCUCCCACAGGCUCUGUCUGUCUGUCUGUCUGUCUGUCUUCCUUCCUCCUUCCCUUUAUUCCUUCUCCCCUCACUUCUUUCCUUCCUUCCUUCCUUUCUCCCUCUCUCCCUCCCUCCCUCCCUCCUUCUUCCUUCCCUCCCUCCCUCUUUCCUUUUCUCCUUUCUUUCCUUUCUUUCUUUGCAGAGCUACAGGUGGGACCCAGGGCCUUGGACACAUUAGGCAAGUUCUUGAAUCACUGGCCCUGGAGAUGUGCUUUCUAUCUUGCACGUUAGUUUUUACUCUAAAAGUUAUUUUAUUUAUUAUUAUUAUGAUGAUGAUGAUGAUGAUGAUGAUGUGUGUUUGAUGUAGAAGUGUGGGUGUGUGUGCCAGAGGACACAAAGUGUGUGCCACUUCACAAAGUCAGAGGACAGCUUUGUGAAGUCAGUUCUCUCCAGGAAUUCAACUCAGGUCAUCAGGCUUGUGCAGCAAGUGCCUUUUAGGCUAAGACCUCUCACAGGCCCCUCAUUUGAACUUUUCUACAUCCUAAGAGCGAAAUCAGUGUCUGUUUCCUAUCUGCCUUCUCUUGCCUUGGGCGUGUUCCUUUUCAGAAGGAUUAUUUUUACAUGAUUAUUGUACUUUAAUUACACCUGCCCCUCCCCUUUAAUUACUGAGGAGUUGCUGUGGACUGAUUUGUGAGUAGGCAGGGAAGCCUCUGGAGGAACUAUGCAGGCCAGCACCUUGUCUUGGCCCUCUCUCCCCGAGAACUAUGAAUGCCCUUUCUGUGGAGUCCAUGGCCAUGGUGGUGUUAGGUCAGGCCCACCUGAUGAGCAGUUUAUCUCUCCUCAGAGGCUUUACACACCAGGACCUGAGACCAGCAACACCCAGCGAUGUGCACAAGGUGCUGAAUCUCCACCGAGAACUAUGAGAAUUUCCCAGUCCUAGAACCCCAGGGCUCUCCAAUCUCAGGCAAGCUUGGGAUGGAAGGGCCUCUACUGCCUUGCACAGGGGUGAAAAACCAGGAAUUGAAUUGAAUCUUUAAUCUGGAGAUCUGGCAACCUGAGAGGAGGGUGAGUCAACACCCCCACAGACCUGCCUUCCAGGUCUUUAGCUGGCAGGUUGUGAAGGGAGGGGAAACAGUGGAUCAUUUUAAAGUUUAGUCUUGCCCCUCUGGUCAGGUUCUUGACUCAGAUUUACGGGGGUUAUAAAUGCCAUGCCUACUGAGUCAUGCCUUAUAUUUCCUCCUGAGCCAGGCAGGAUUGUUUGGAUGCCAUCUAGGCUGACCCCAAAACAAGCACACCUCAAGUAUGUGCAUAAGAAGAUUCCUUCCUCCAGAAUGAAGUGCAAGUGUGCCCUUGGGAGAGAGAAUAUCCAGCAUGUCUGACAUUGAGCCCUUACCAGACCCAGAUCUCAGCAAAAGAGGUCAGUGACCUGGAAGUAGUCAUAACUGGAACCCACCUGGCAACAGGAAGCAGGGUUUAUUAAGCAUAUGAAUCCUGAAGAAGUUAGGGGGCCAUUUGGCCUCAGCUGUGAGGUCUCUUAUCUUUGCCCAGCAGGAUUUCCUUGGAGCUGUAGACACAGAGGACAAGUGAGGACAAGCUAGUUAAUUAAGGCCACAUUCUAUAACUGGGGCUUUGGGUCAGUGCCCUCUGGUGCCCCAGACUCGCCUCCACUCUGGUCUCAGUCUCCUUCAGCCAUGGGGAAUUCUCAAGUCCUGCGGACAUCACUACUUCAAGGGGUGGGAAACAGAAGGCCUGGCUGCCUGGCCCUUAAAGUUUAGGUUCGGACAUCAGCUAACUCUGUAAGGAAGUAAGCACUAGCCUUAUGCUAAAUUAUCACUGCUCUGAGGUCCAGCCUCCAGCAGCACAGGGUCGGGGGACCUUCCACCAGCAGUAAGUCUUUCUGAAGUAUGGUUAGAGUCUAACAGAAGGGAAGAGUGAUAAAAACUGGCAAUUAAUUUGUAAGAGAGUAAAACCAGUCUUGACUGGACUUCUGAGGGGACAUCCACAGUAGGCCCGGAUGAGUGAAGGAGCCCCAAUCCUAAAAUCCUUCUUGAGAUUGGUCAGGGCUAUGCUUUCUCAGCAAGGUGAUCCUGGGCUACAGUGGGGUCUUCCAUACUGGUGGAUCCCAGUAGGAGUUCUGGAAACUAACAUCUAACUAGAGGUUCACUGAAGAAAGCGUGGAAGGGACAGGUAGGAGUGACUGACAGGGCCACAUCUGAUGUUUCCAGUGACCGUAGUCUAGUAGCUGGACUUCACUUCAUUACAAACGUUGCCAGCAUGGGGACAUGGGCUUGUUGGCUUUUUGAAAAGGCUUUCUAUGUGCCUGACCCAUAAGGAGGUAGCUAGUGAUUGGCCUCCUGAACCAGCUGGUCCUGGGGGACUUUGAUGGAGAGGGCUGCUUGUUGAUUGUGGUGUCUGUCUCUUCCCAGCUCACAUGGUUGUUCUGUGAAAAGUUCUUCCCUGCAUAGGGACUUUGAGCUCAUGACAUCACCCACCUGGCUUCUGUCCACAUCCACUUUUUAAAAGCUGGACAUGUGGAGCUAGAAAGUUGGCUCAGCAGUUAAGAGCACUGGUUGCUCUUGCAGAAGACCAGGAUUCAAUUCUCAGCACCUACAGGGCAGCUCAUAAUUGUCUGUGACUCUAGUUUCAGGAGAUCCAUUGCCCUCUUCUGGCCUCUAUGAACACCAGACACACACAUGAUAUACAGAUGUACAUGCAGGUAAAGCACCCAUGCACAUAAAAAUAAAUAAUUUUUUUUUGAGACAGGCUCUCAUGAUGUAGCCCUGGCUAUCCUGGAACUCACUAUGUAGACCAGGCUGGCUUCAAACUCACAGAGAUCCACCUGCCUCUGCCUCUAAAGAUGUGCACCACCACACCAGGCUUAAAUAAAUAAUUUUUAGAAACUGGUCACAUAAUGCAUAUUUAUGAAAUAUUAAGAUCAGAUGAACAACAUAUUGCAGUGUGGGGGGUGAGUGGGAAAAUUAGAAAUGAAAAACCAGUGUCUCACAGAACUCUCUAGUGAGGACAUUAUAGGAAGAAUGAGUCAUUUGCCAUUUCUCCACCUUCUUACUUUGAACUCUUUUAGGGUGCAAACAAGGUCCAAAUUAGGUGGUCAUAAGGCAUGGGGUUCUGUGUAAGGUAGAAGAUCCAGAGGUGUGUGUGUGUGUGUGUGUGUGUGUGUGUGUGUGUGUGUGUGUACAUGGCUGGCAUCUAUUUUUCCAUAAAAACGAAAAAUCUCAACAAAAGUGGAAAGUGGGGUCCCCUUCACCUCCCCACCCCCACCCUAGCAUCCUUGUUCAGUUUGCUCCCACCCACCCACUCUGUGACUCACCCCCACCUCCCCUCAGAUCCAUCAGGGCCGAUUGUUCUCUGGUCUCCUCAGUCCAAAGCUCUUGAUGGAUUUGGUAAUUGGGGUAAUUACGGUAAUUUUACCUUAAAGACAGACAGCUGUGGGUUCCCUAUUGGGGUGCUCCUCCCUGGGCCUCCUGCCAGUGUUCAGGGACAAUGGCAGGAGGCUCCCAUUCCCCCUCCCCCCAGAAUACAAAGUGGCUGGGUAGGGGUGAAAGUAAUGCAUAGACAGCCCCUCUAGCAGCUCAGGGUGGGGGCUGGGACAGCACAGUGUCAUUUUCCUCUCUACCACUCAGCACUGGUUCUAGGGAUCUGUCCAGCCCAACACAUACCCACCCACCACCCAGCCCAGCCCCGCCACCUUUUCCCUUUCAGGCCUGAAAACCCAAACAGAUUAACCCUACUGUCCCCCGUGUGUGGAUAAAGUUCCUUAACGACGCCUAAAAGCUCCUCAGCACUCAUCCUUGUAAUCUCUAAGGAUGAGGGAAAAGAAAAAAUGAUGAACCGGGACCCUGAGUGUCAUUUGCCCAAAGCCAGAGAGACCUGCAAGCACCUGCCAGGCUUGGAGGAGCCAGAGUCCACGCUGCUCUGCCCCCAGCGGCAUCUUGAGGAACUGCAUCUUAAUCCACACCAGAGCCAGCCCGCGCUGGAGAAGAUCGCUGAGCUCUGUCUUUGAAUUUUCAGGUUAGAAGGCGUCUCCUAGAGCAGAGGUGUCAACCAAGGCCACCACAAAUGUGUGAGAUCCCCCGCUGGAGUGUUUGUCAGUGAGAGCCCCACGCAGGUCCUCGGAGCAGACCACCAGGGCAGGCUCUUGCAGGGACAUUGGGGGUUGUGUUUAGGGGGAGCUGAGGCAGCCCUGGGGUAGGCUCAGAAUUUCAAGUUGGUUGUUUCCUGCUUCCAAACCCUUCUGGAAUGCAUCUCCUGUGCCUUCACAGACAGUUCACUGCUCUGUCGCCGCUCAGGGUACCUGACCGAGCCUGCAGGGUCAGGAAAAACGACCUCACGAUGCUUGAGCUCCAAGCACGCUGUUUUCACCUGCUUUGGGGGCCCUUCCACCUGUCUCCAGCUUACCCUCAAAUCUCACCCUAAACUCCACUGUGCUUAAGUGGCACAUCCCUGGAAACUCACCUCUCCCCAAGGGAAACACCAGACUUGUUCCAGCUCCCCGACCACCUUCACUGAAGGACCCUCCCUCCAUCUCCAUCUCCAUCAUUUGUAAUUACACAGCAAUUUGUGCGAUGCCUCGUGUUUAACGUUUCUUCCUCCACUGAACUGCAGACUCGAGGAAAUUCGGCCUCGAUUUGGUGUCCUGCAGCAGAGAGAGAGAAUUCUGUUGCUGCAUAUUGGAAGUCACAUCACCGAUCGGCCAGAGACGGUCUCCUUCAGCGCUGGGAAAGCGAGGUGGUGGCUUCAGAAUUGUCGGUUUGCCCUGCAGCCUCCUCACCAUAGUCCUCUACCGGGCAGCACCUCUGGGUCUCUCCCUCCUUGCACGAUGUAGGGCCCACACUUCCUGGACUGAGCCCCCCCCCCAAGCCCCACCUCCUAUACUGGAUAGCCAAUCCCUGACUCGACUGAAGAUUGGAGGUGGGGAAAAGGAGAAAGACCGACUGGAUAGGAAAGCUGUGGGUGUGGACUGAGUUGUCCCUCUGCCCCCGCAGCCGGAAGACCUAUCGGGCUCAUACACCCUGGGUGAACUUCAAGGCGACCCUAGCUAGAAUUGUCCAACUCUUUCUAUUUGCAGGCCUUUGGGGUCAGUUGUCCCCAAAGCUGGCCGCCUCUUUGGUAAAUGUCUCAUUGGCCCAUUCCAUCACAUCCUUUGGGCACCCAUGACGCCUGUAAAUUUCAUUAGGGUUCUCUGUCCAAGGUCUUGUCUGUGACGGAGGUGGUCAGCCUGCCUGCAUGUGGGUAGGGCUGGGGUCGCAGAGAACGACACCCACCCCACUCCAGCUCUUAACCGGAAACAGGACUCCGCAGCAUACACUCUCUCUACCGCUAGGUGGAUGGACACACGACUGAGGCUGAGAACUCCCAGGAGCACUGAACCACUGAGCUGCCCACAGGCCAGCUUUGGAGGGUCCAGCUCUGGGCGCCUCUAAAAUACUUUCCUGGCCUCCUCUCUCUUCUCUAUCCAUUUGAUUUUCUCACACUGUUGUGGUGAAAUAUUGUGUAUCAAAUAAAGCUUGUCUGAGGAUCAGAGGACAGAGUCAGCCACUAGAUUAAACAUAGAGGCCAGGCAGUGGUGGCACACACCUUUAAUCUCAGUACUUGGGAAUCAUAUGCCUUUAAUCCCAGCACUCGAGAUCUCAUGCCUUUGCUACCAGUAUUUGGGAAGCACACAGGCCAUUAAUCCCAGCACUGGGAAGGAAGUGAAAUGGCUGGGCGGAGAAAGGCAUAUAAGGCAUGAGGAGACAGGAAUAAGAGACCCUUUUCUGCUGAGGACUCAAAGACUUUUGGUCCGAGGAUUCAUGAAGAAAGGAUUUCACCUUCCAUUCGGCCUGAGGAUUCGGUAGUGGUGAGAAGUUUCUCUAGUGGCUUGUUCCUUUGUCUCUCUGAUCUUUCAGCAUUGACCCCAA
Molecule: long non-coding RNA, 7863 nt
Organism: Peromyscus californicus insignis
Lineage: Eukaryota; Metazoa; Chordata; Mammalia; Rodentia; Cricetidae
Exons: 2
Source: RefSeq, a predicted model, not a curated record